GCCUCUGUACCUCAGUUGGUUAGAGCGCUGCACCGGAAUCGCAGGGCCGUAGGUUCAAUUCCUACCAGAGGAC
Molecule: transfer RNA, 73 nt
Filed under: Paramuricea clavata
Lineage: Eukaryota; Metazoa; Cnidaria; Anthozoa; Malacalcyonacea; Plexauridae
Rfam family: tRNA
About the family: Transfer RNA (tRNA) molecules are approximately 80 nucleotides in length. Their secondary structure includes four short double-helical elements and three loops (D, anti-codon, and T loops).
Source: Rfam by way of RNAcentral